GCAAGGUUAAAACUCAAAUGAAUUGACGGGGGCCCGCACAAGCGGUGGAGCAUGUGGUUUAAUUCGAUGCAACGCGAAGAACCUUACCUACUCUUGACAUCCAGAGAACUUUCCAGAGAUGGAUUGGUGCCUUCGGGAACUCUGAGACAGGUGCUGCAUGGCUGUCGUCAGCUCGUGUUGUGAAAUGUUGGGUUAAGUCCCGCAACGAGCGCAACCCUUAUCCUUUGUUGCCAG
This 234-nucleotide ribosomal RNA is filed under the name Serratia marcescens. RNAcentral describes it as "partial 16S ribosomal RNA". It matches the Rfam family "Bacterial small subunit ribosomal RNA", at positions 888 to 1121 of the family's 1533-position model. The record is from RNAcentral. Lineage: Bacteria; Pseudomonadati; Pseudomonadota; Gammaproteobacteria; Enterobacterales; Yersiniaceae. RNAcentral also lists the same sequence under 4 other names.